This 1474-nucleotide ribosomal RNA is filed under the name Escherichia coli. RNAcentral's name for it is "bacterial SSU rRNA". It matches the Rfam family "Bacterial small subunit ribosomal RNA". The record is from RNAcentral. Lineage: Bacteria; Pseudomonadati; Pseudomonadota; Gammaproteobacteria; Enterobacterales; Enterobacteriaceae.
UCGAACGGUAACAGGAAACAGCUUGCUGUUUCGCUGACGAGUGGCGGACGGGUGAGUAAUGUCUGGGAAACUGCCUGAUGGAGGGGGAUAACUACUGGAAACGGUAGCUAAUACCGCAUAACGUCGCAAGACCAAAGAGGGGGACCUUCGGGCCUCUUGCCAUCGGAUGUGCCCAGAUGGGAUUAGCUUGUUGGUGGGGUAACGGCUCACCAAGGCGACGAUCCCUAGCUGGUCUGAGAGGAUGACCAGCCACACUGGAACUGAGACACGGUCCAGACUCCUACGGGAGGCAGCAGUGGGGAAUAUUGCACAAUGGGCGCAAGCCUGAUGCAGCCAUGCCGCGUGUAUGAAGAAGGCCUUCGGGUUGUAAAGUACUUUCAGCGGGGAGGAAGGGAGUAAAGUUAAUACCUUUGCUCAUUGACGUUACCCGCAGAAGAAGCACCGGCUAACUCCGUGCCAGCAGCCGCGGUAAUACGGAGGGUGCAAGCGUUAAUCGGAAUUACUGGGCGUAAAGCGCACGCAGGCGGUUUGUUAAGUCAGAUGUGAAAUCCCCGGGCUCAACCUGGGAACUGCAUCUGAUACUGGCAAGCUUGAGUCUCGUAGAGGGGGGUAGAAUUCCAGGUGUAGCGGUGAAAUGCGUAGAGAUCUGGAGGAAUACCGGUGGCGAAGGCGGCCCCCUGGACGAAGACUGACGCUCAGGUGCGAAAGCGUGGGGAGCAAACAGGAUUAGAUACCCUGGUAGUCCACGCCGUAAACGAUGUCGACUUGGAGGUUGUGCCCUUGAGGCGUGGCUUCCGGAGCUAACGCGUUAAGUCGACCGCCUGGGGAGUACGGCCGCAAGGUUAAAACUCAAAUGAAUUGACGGGGGCCCGCACAAGCGGUGGAGCAUGUGGUUUAAUUCGAUGCAACGCGAAGAACCUUACCUGGUCUUGACAUCCACGGAAGUUUUCAGAGAUGAGAAUGUGCCUUCGGGAACCGUGAGACAGGUGCUGCAUGGCUGUCGUCAGCUCGUGUUGUGAAAUGUUGGGUUAAGUCCCGCAACGAGCGCAACCCUUAUCCUUUGUUGCCAGCGGUCCGGCCGGGAACUCAAAGGAGACUGCCAGUGAUAAACUGGAGGAAGGUGGGGAUGACGUCAAGUCAUCAUGGCCCUUACGACCAGGGCUACACACGUGCUACAAUGGCGCAUACAAAGAGAAGCGACCUCGCGAGAGCAAGCGGACCUCAUAAAGUGCGUCGUAGUCCGGAUUGGAGUCUGCAACUCGACUCCAUGAAGUCGGAAUCGCUAGUAAUCGUGGAUCAGAAUGCCACGGUGAAUACGUUCCCGGGCCUUGUACACACCGCCCGUCACACCAUGGGAGUGGGUUGCAAAAGAAGUAGGUAGCUUAACCUUCGGGAGGGCGCUUACCACUUUGUGAUUCAUGACUGGGGUGAAGUCGUAACAAGGUAACCGUAGGGGAACCUGCGGUUGGAUCAC